AGUUCGGGUCACAUUUCGAUCUUUCGUCUUCCUCUCCUCUUGGAGUCGUCGUUGGAUCUUGCGGUGUUUCUCGAUCUUGUGAUGGGACGAUGCAUGAGUGGUUAUUGAGAUAUGUUUCCAUGCAGGCUCCAUGCUCCUGGCAUUGAACUGCUUUGGUGUAUCUUCUUCAUAUGUGGGCUUGCAUCGGUGUUUGAAGCAUCGUUUGUGGUCACUCUUUGGGUUCCUGUGCUUGAUAUCGAUUUCGACAGUUGGAUGGGUUCCUCGUCCCUUGUCAUGUUAUGUCGAUCCUCCAUCGCCUUGCCCGGCGUUGUUGGUUAUUUUGCGGCAUUGAUGUUUGCCCAACGAGCCGUAGUCUCUUAUUUGGUGCUUCUGAUCGUGAAGGCAUGUCGAUGCCGCUUGCUCUUUUGGGUGUGGAGAAUUUUUGGUUAUCGCAUCGGUCUCGACCUUUGUGAGCGCAACGUUUUGAAGUAUUCUCGCUUCUGCUUGUAUGACCCUCGUUCUCUUCUGGAGCUCACCGAGCCUCUUUGUUCUGUGUUCUUCUUGGGAGCCAUCGAGGUCAAGAACGGAAUGCUACCUGGUUGAU
RNAcentral lists this unclassified non-coding RNA (583 nucleotides) under Sarcopyramis napalensis. Its description in RNAcentral is "partial contains external transcribed spacer and small subunit ribosomal RNA". Lineage: Eukaryota; Viridiplantae; Streptophyta; Magnoliopsida; Myrtales; Melastomataceae. The record is from RNAcentral.